RNAcentral lists this ribosomal RNA (848 nucleotides) under Camarosporidiella italica. RNAcentral describes it as "eukaryotic LSU rRNA". It matches the Rfam family "Eukaryotic large subunit ribosomal RNA", at positions 68 to 934 of the family's 3401-position model. The record is from RNAcentral. Lineage: Eukaryota; Fungi; Ascomycota; Dothideomycetes; Pleosporales.
ACAGGGAUUGCCCUAGUAACGGCGAGUGAAGCGGCANCAGCUCAAAUUUGAAAUCUGGCUCUUUCAGAGUCCGAGUUGUAAUUUGCAGAGGGCGCUUUGGCGUUGGCAGCGGUCCAAGUUCCUUGGAACAGGACGUCACAGAGGGUGAGAAUCCCGUACGUGGUCGCUGGCCUUCGCCGUGUAAAGCCCCUUCGACGAGUCGAGUUGUUUGGGAAUGCAGCUCUAAAUGGGAGGUAAAUUUCUUCUAAAGCUAAAUACUGGCCAGAGACCGAUAGCGCACAAGUAGAGUGAUCGAAAGAUGAAAAGCACUUUGGAAAGAGAGUCAAAUAGCACGUGAAAUUGUUGAAAGGGAAGCGCUUGCAGCCAGACUUGCCUGUAGUUGCUCAUCCGGGCUUUUGCCCGGUGCACUCUUCUGCGGGCAGGCCAGCAUCAGUUUGGGCGGUUGGAUAAAGGUCUCUGUCAUGUACCUCUCUUCGGGGAGGCCUUAUAGGGGAGACGUCAUGCAACCAGCCUGGACUGAGGUCCGCGCAUUUGCUAGGAUGCUGGCGUAAUGGCUGUAAGCGGCCCGUCUUGAAACACGGACCAAGGAGUCUAACAUCUAUGCGAGUGUUUGGGUGUCAAGCCCGAACGCGUAAUGAAAGUGAACGGAGGUGGGACCCCAUUAGGGUGCACCAUCGACCGAUCCUGAUGUCUUCGGAUGGAUUUGAGUAAGAGCAUGGCUGUUGGGACCCGAAAGAUGGUGAACUAUGCUUGAAUAGGGUGAAGCCAGAGGAAACUCUGGUGGAGGCUCGCAGCGGUUCUGACGUGCAAAUCGAUCGUCAAAUUUGGGCAUAGGGGCGAAAGACUAA